This 329-nucleotide ribosomal RNA is filed under the name uncultured prokaryote. RNAcentral describes it as "bacterial SSU rRNA". It matches the Rfam family "Bacterial small subunit ribosomal RNA", at positions 26 to 352 of the family's 1533-position model. The record is from RNAcentral.
AGAUUGAACGCUAGCGGCAUGCCUAACACAUGCAAGUCGAACGGUAACAGGCCCUUCGGGGUGCUGACGAGUGGCGGACGGGUGAGUAAUGCGUAGGAAUCUACCCACGAGUGGGGGAUAGCCCGGAGAAAUCCGGAUUAAUACCGCAUAUGCCCUACGGGGUAAAGCGGGGGAUCGUAAGACCUCGCGCUGGUGGAUGAGCCUACGUCCGAUUAGUUAGUUGGUGGGGUAAAGGCCUACCAAGGCUACGAUCGGUAGCUGGUCUGAGAGGACGACCAGCCACACUGGGACGUGAGACACGGCCCGACGACUCCUACGGGAGGGCGAGC